AGAGUUUGAUUAUGGCUCAGGAUGAACGCUGGCGGUAUGCUUAACACAUGCAAGUCGAACGGUCUCUUCGGAGAUAGUGGCGGACGGGUGAGUAACGCGUGAGAAUCUGCCUUCAGGUCUGGGACAACCAUUGGAAACGGUGGCUAAUACCGGAUGAGCAGAGAUGUGAAAGAUUAAUUGCCUGAAGAGGAGCUCGCGUCUGAUUAGCUAGUUGGUGGGGUAAGAGCUUACCAAGGCGACGAUCAGUAGCUGGUCUGAGAGGACGAUCAGCCACACUGGGACUGAGACACGGCCCAGACUCCUACGGGAGGCAGCAGUGGGGAAUUUUCCGCAAUGGGCGAAAGCCUGACGGAGCAAUACCGCGUGAGGGAGGAAGGCUCUUGGGUCGUAAACCUCUUUUCUCAGGGAAGAAAAAAAUGACGGUACCUGAGGAAUAAGCAUCGGCUAACUCCGUGCCAGCAGCCGCGGUAAUACGGAGGAUGCAAGCGUUAUCCGGAAUGAUUGGGCGUAAAGCGUCCGCAGGUGGCUAUGUAAGUCUGCUGUUAAAGAGCAAGGCUCAACCUUGUAAAAGCGGUGGAAACUACAUAGCUAGAGUGCGUUCGGGGCAGAGGGAAUUCCUGGUGUAGCGGUGAAAUGCGUAGAGAUCAGGAAGAACACCGGUGGCGAAAGCGCUCUGCUAGGCCGCAACUGACACUGAGGGACGAAAGCUAGGGGAGCGAAUGGGAUUAGAUACCCCAGUAGUCCUAGCCGUAAACGAUGGAUACUAGCGUGGCUUGUAUCGACCCGAGCCGUGCCGGAGCUAACGCGUUAAGUAUCCCGCCUGGGGAGUACGCAGGCAACUGUGAAACUCAAAGGAAUUGACGGGGCCCGCACAGCGGUGGAGU
RNAcentral lists this ribosomal RNA (884 nucleotides) under uncultured bacterium. RNAcentral describes it as "bacterial SSU rRNA". It matches the Rfam family "Bacterial small subunit ribosomal RNA", at positions 8 to 938 of the family's 1533-position model. The record is from RNAcentral.